This 301-nucleotide ribosomal RNA is filed under the name uncultured bacterium. RNAcentral describes it as "partial 16S ribosomal RNA". It matches the Rfam family "Bacterial small subunit ribosomal RNA", at positions 509 to 808 of the family's 1533-position model. The record is from RNAcentral.
CAGUAGCCGCGGUAAUACAGAGGGUGCGAGCGUUAAUCGGAUUUACUGGGCGUAAAGCGUGCGUAGGCGGCUUCUUAAGUCGGAUGUGAAAUCCCUGAGCUUAACUUAGGAAUUGCAUUCGAUACUGGGAAGCUAGAGCAUGGGAGAGGAUGGUAGAAUUCCAGGUGUAGCGGUGAAAUGCGUAGAGAUCUGGAGGAAUACCGAUGGCGAAGGCAGCCAUCUGGCCUAAUACUGACGCUGAGGUACGAAAGCAUGGGGAGCAAACAGGAUUAGAUACCCCAGUAGUCCCUGUCUCUUAACA